RNAcentral lists this transfer RNA (74 nucleotides) under bacterium. RNAcentral describes it as "tRNA-Glu". It matches the Rfam family "tRNA". Rfam says of the family: Transfer RNA (tRNA) molecules are approximately 80 nucleotides in length. The record is from RNAcentral.
GCGUCCCCGUCGUCUAGUGGUUAGACACCGCCCUUUCACGGCGGCAACACGGGUUCGAGCCCCGUCAGGAUGCC